Molecule: long non-coding RNA, 764 nt
Organism: Phycodurus eques (leafy seadragon)
Lineage: Eukaryota; Metazoa; Chordata; Actinopteri; Syngnathiformes; Syngnathidae
Exons: 3
Source: RefSeq, a predicted model, not a curated record
CGCGCAGCAGAGCGCGCGGACCCGCUGUGCUCGAGGGGGUUCACGGGGACCACCUGACCAGCCGUGCCCCGAAAACUUGCGGACUUCAUGGAUCACUUGGCGCCCACCUCUUGCGCGAGGUUCACCAAGACCACACGCGAUGGCUUUUUCUUUUUUUUUGCUACUCUUGCCACGAUUUGGGAUUUGCAUUUCAUGACGCCACAAUCGUCUUUGUCUACAUGUGCGGUGAAAAUGGAGCACGCGCCGCUCCUGUGCGCGUGCGUGGAGCCCAAAAUAACAACAGCAGAAUUCCGGGGUCCCUGAAGUCACAUGACGCAGGCGUGAGAGUGGCCUGUGAUUGGUGGAGAAGAAGGAACACUAAAAGUGUAUGUCUACAUGCUAUGCUAGGCUAACAAUAGUGCCAUUAGCCUUGGCUUUCAUUUCUCGUUGGGUAUUCUACGUAGGUGCGAAUUGCUGUCAAUGAAUCGACUAUAUAUAAACUGACAAAAGACGCUAACAGGAAGUUGAGUGAAAGCUAAUUGGACGAUACCAAGUGCUGACAGUGUCGAGGGGGGUUCAGCUUCACCUGUACUGGAUGACGUCAUGCUGUGAGUCCCGACCACCGUUAUGUGAAAUCAUUCAAUGCAAAAAUGUAUUUUCAAUAUUAUUACUAUUAUUUCAGGGCACUAUUUUCUUUGUAUUUAUUUCACUCAACUCAACUUUAUUUAUAGAACCUUUUGGGAAAAUAACUGCAGCUGUAACAAAGAUAUUGCUCAAACUGUGCA